GCGCCUUGGCCAGCCAGCAAGGAGGAGCAGCCGCAAACAGGUGGGGAGCGACAAAAAGAAUGGCGGCGGAAAGCGGACGUGGUGCGGGCUGGCGGACGGCGAGGAGGAGAGGGGCCGGCUGAGCGCGGCUGGGAGGUUCUGCAUUCCGUGGAAGAGGAUCUCAAUUAUCGCUUUCCAGUCACGAUCCAGCGCCAUGGUUGGGGGGUUUCAUUAGCGAGCCAUGUGUGUAUUUUUAUUUGCAUUUUUGGUAUACAAGGUGUUUGAUGGAAUUACCCUGUAGGUCUGCACAUCCAUCUUGAUUCCGAAGAAUGCCACAUCGCUGCUGGAGAAUAAGGAUCCUCUCAAGGUUGAAGGUCAUUCGCUGGUCCUAAUACUUACACAGAUCUAUUUUAAGGAAAUGAGUGACUAGUUUUGCCAAAACUAUGACGGCCCACUUUUAUUACUACAUAUGGGUACCCCGAGCAUGGUGGGUGCUCAGGUUGGCAGAAUGCUUCUGCAAUUAUAUGGAUUUUCAAUAUUGUGCGGUCAUGCCUUCAAAUUGAAGCUUGUUGCAAUUAUCUAAUGGCUUGCUUGUUCUGAAUUCAAACUGCGCCAUGAAGAGACACCCAACAGGUUUGAGUCUCUGAAUCAGAGGAAAGCAAUCUCUUGAGAUUAUGAGAUGUAACAAAUGGAGCUUAUGAUUUCGAUGCUUCUCUUAUAUGUGUUGUUGCUAUACUUAGAAGACGUUGUGUUGUUUCUAUACUUAGAAGACAUUAGAUAACUUUGGACCUGCUGCAAACGCAGCAUUGGUGCAGACAAGUGGGCUCUACAGCACAAAUUAAUUCCGAUCAAGUUGCAAAGCCUGUACUGUGAUGGUUACAAGUUGGUUAGCUGUGUUCUUGUUUUGUACCCAUUUCUUAACUCUCUCUUCUAUCUGUGCACAUCGUUUCAAGGUAAGUAUACACAUAGCAUGUUGUUAGGUCAUAUUCACCAAUGAGUCAAACAUUGAGGUCUGGAAGAAUAAGCGACAGCAAGCUAUUAACUCAAAAGUCGGAUGUCUUGAAAACUUUAUUGAGUAUGUUAAUGUCAUAUUCAGGUAUUUUGCGAACCUAUCUUCUUCUCUCUAAUAUUUUGUUAAAAAGUAUUUGUUACGUUUCUGAUCAAUCCUUGGAGUAUUCAUAACAAUAAAAGAACUGUAGAACUUAUUUUGUUUGUCUCAUAAUUGAAAUGGAAUUUAGAUAUUAGUCUAU
Molecule: non-coding RNA, 1229 nt
Organism: Lolium perenne
Lineage: Eukaryota; Viridiplantae; Streptophyta; Magnoliopsida; Poales; Poaceae
Source: RefSeq, a predicted model, not a curated record